UACGAAGGGGGCUAGCGUUGUUCGGAAUCACUGGGCGUAAAGCGCACGUAGGCGGAUUUGUAAGUCAGGGGUGAAAUCCCGGGGCUCAACCUCGGAACUGCCUCUGAUACUGCAAGUCUCGAGUCCGGAAGAGGUGAGUGGAAUUCCUAGUGUAGAGGUGAAAUUCGUAGAUAUUAGGAAGAACACCAGUGGCGAAGGCGGCUCACUGGUCCGGUACUGACGCUGAGGUGCGAAAGCGUGGGGAGCAAACAGG
RNAcentral lists this ribosomal RNA (253 nucleotides) under uncultured bacterium. Its description in RNAcentral is "partial 16S ribosomal RNA". It matches the Rfam family "Bacterial small subunit ribosomal RNA", at positions 524 to 776 of the family's 1533-position model. RNAcentral also lists the same sequence under 1 other name. The record is from RNAcentral.